CAGGAAUACUAUGGACUGAGGGCUACAAGCUUUUAGAAGAUAUAAGGUCUGCAGAGGCAGGAGAGUUGUCUGCUAUGUUAAGAGCACCCAUGAUCGUGUUACUUGAACAAAACAAGGAAAAGAGACUUCAUCAGUCCUCGAGCAGUCCCAGAUUUUCUGAACUUGGAAGUCUAAAGAGUCUACUGCUGUGGAAUUACGUGGUCAAGAAAAAACAAACAGCAAGGGGCUCCAAGAAAAUGCUUUCUCUCCUGGUUGAGGAGCCUUAAUGAUCUGCUGAGUGAGAAUGAUUUCUGUAUUGCAAGUCAGUUCUUGAAUGCUUUAUUUUUAUGUACAUUUCAGCACUUCUC
Molecule: long non-coding RNA, 347 nt
Filed under: Gallus gallus (chicken)
Lineage: Eukaryota; Metazoa; Chordata; Aves; Galliformes; Phasianidae
Description: long non-coding RNA NONGGAT001088
Source: RNAcentral